This 209-nucleotide ribosomal RNA is filed under the name uncultured bacterium. Its description in RNAcentral is "partial 16S ribosomal RNA". It matches the Rfam family "Bacterial small subunit ribosomal RNA", at positions 566 to 774 of the family's 1533-position model. The record is from RNAcentral.
GGCGCGUAGGCGGUCUCGUAAGUCAGGUGUGAAAGCCCGGGGCUUAACCCCGGAAGUGCAUUUGAAACUACGAGACUUGAGUAUGGGAGAGGGAAGUGGAAUUCCUGGUGUAGAGGUGAAAUUCGUAGAUAUCAGGAGGAACACCGGUGGCGAAGGCGACUUCCUGGACCAAUACUGACGCUGAGGCGCGAAGGCGUGGGGAGCAAACA